CCUGUCAACAUCACAGUUCAUGAUGGUCGUGUGGUCCUGGAGAGUUCUGUUCAUCCUGUGACUGAGGGACAUCCUCUGACUCUACACUGUUUAUAUCGUAACACAAAUCCCUCAAACCUCCGAGCUGAUUUCUAUAAAGAUGGAUCAGUCGUCCAGAACCAGACUACAGGAGAGAUGAUCAUCCAUAAAGUCUCAAAGUCAGAUGAAGGUUUCUACCACUGUAAACACCCAGAGAGAGGAGAGUCACCGAGAAGCUGGAUCUCAGUCAGACGCUCUGUCUCAAUCUCAGGAUCUAGACCCAGUGGUGAAACAGUAGGAGUGGCUGUGGGACUGAGUUUGUCCUUUUUGUUCAUCAUUUUGCUGAUAUUAAUGAUCCUGCUGUGGUUCUACAAAAUGAAGAAAG
Silurus meridionalis is the source of this 403-nucleotide long non-coding RNA. RefSeq lists it as uncharacterized. The record is from RefSeq and is a predicted model, not a curated record. NCBI's taxonomy places the organism in Eukaryota, Metazoa, Chordata, Actinopteri, Siluriformes, Siluridae. The transcript has 3 exons.